GCUUAACGCGAAGAACCUUACCACCUUUUGACAUGCCUGGACCGCCACAGAGAUGUGGCUUUCCCUUCGGGGACUGGGACACAGGUGCUGCAUGGCUGUCGUCAGCUCGUGUCGCGAGAUGUUGGGUUAAGUCCCGCAACGAGCGCAACCCUCGCCAUUAGUUGCCAUCAUUCAGUUGGGAACUCUAAUGGGACUGCCGGUGCUAAGCCGGAGGAAGGUGGGAAUGACGUCAAGUCCUCAUGGCCCUUACAGGGUGGGCUACACACGUGCUACAAUGGCGACUACAGAGGGUUAAUCCUUAAAAGUCGUCUCAGUUCGGAUUGUCCUCUGCAACUCGAGGGCAUGAAGUUGGAAUCGCUAGUAAUCGCGGAUCAGCAUGCCGCGGUG
This 387-nucleotide ribosomal RNA is filed under the name uncultured bacterium. RNAcentral describes it as "bacterial SSU rRNA". It matches the Rfam family "Bacterial small subunit ribosomal RNA", at positions 954 to 1364 of the family's 1533-position model. The record is from RNAcentral.